This 303-nucleotide non-coding RNA is filed under the name Beta vulgaris subsp. vulgaris (sugar beet). Its description in RNAcentral is "Bacterial large subunit ribosomal RNA". It matches the Rfam family "Bacterial large subunit ribosomal RNA", at positions 1 to 302 of the family's 2925-position model. The record is from Rfam by way of RNAcentral. Lineage: Eukaryota; Viridiplantae; Streptophyta; Magnoliopsida; Caryophyllales; Amaranthaceae.
GCAUAAACCAGUUACAGCAAUUGAUGGAUGCCUUGGCGUCAUCAGGCGACGAAGGACGCAGCAAGCUGCGAUAAGCUUCGGGGAGCGGCACGCACGCUUUGAUCCGGAGAUUUCCGAAUGGGGCAACCCAGUGCAGGUAAUUCUGCAUUACUCCUGUCUGAAUACAUAGGACAGGUAGAGCAAUACGUGGAGAAGUGAAACAUCUCAGUAUCCACUGGAAAAGAAAGAGAAUCGAUUCCGUUAGUAGUGGCGAGCGAACGCGGAUCAGCCCAAACCAUCGGGAUUUAUCCUGGUGGGGUUGUA